GACAGGGGUGCCUUAAAAAGCUGAGACGGAUUUUUCCGAACCCUUUAACCUGAUACGGGUAAUGCCGGCGUAGGGAGCUUU
RNAcentral lists this non-coding RNA (81 nucleotides) under human gut metagenome. RNAcentral describes it as "TPP riboswitch (THI element)". It matches the Rfam family "TPP riboswitch aptamer (THI element)", at positions 10 to 89 of the family's 105-position model. From Rfam's summary of the family: Vitamin B(1) in its active form thiamin pyrophosphate (TPP) is an essential coenzyme that is synthesised by coupling of pyrimidine and thiazole moieties in bacteria. The record is from RNAcentral.